Molecule: ribosomal RNA, 329 nt
Filed under: uncultured eukaryote
Lineage: Eukaryota
Description: partial 18S ribosomal RNA
Rfam family: Eukaryotic small subunit ribosomal RNA
Source: RNAcentral
CCCUUAGAUGUUCUGGGCCGCACGCGCGCUACACUGAUGCAUUCAACGAGUCUAAAACCUGGUCUGAGAGGGCUGGGUAAUCUUUUGAAAGUGCAUCGUGAUUGGGAUAGAUGAUUGCAAUUCUUCAUCUUCAACGAGGAAUGCCUAGUAAACGCAAGUCAUCAGCUUGCAUUGAUUACGUCCCUGCCCUUUGUACACACCGCCCGUCACUCCUACCGAUUGAACGAUCCGAUGAAAACUGUGGAUUGAGAGUCUGAGUGGGUUCGCCUACCUCAACUUUCGAGAAGCGGUUUAAAUCUUAUCGUUUAGAGGAAGGAGAAGUCGUAACA